AUACGUAGGUGGCAAGCGUUGUCCGGAAUUAUUGGGCGUAAAGCGCGCGCAGGUGGUUCCUUAAGUCUGAUGUGAAAGCCCCCGGCUCGACCGGGGAGGGUCAUUGGAAACUGGGGAACUUGAGUGCAGAAGAGGAUAGUGGAAUUCCAAGUGUAGCGGUGAAAUGCGUAGAGAUUUGGAGGAACACCAGUGGCGAAGGCGACUGUCUGGUCUGUAACUGACACUGAGGCGCGAAAGCGUGGGGAGCGAACAGGAUUAGAUACCCUCGUAGUCCACGCCGUAAACGAUGAGUGCUAAGUGUUGGGGGGUUUCCGCCCCUCAGUGCUGCAGCUAACGCAUUAAGCACUCCGCCUGGGGAGUACGGUCGCAAGACUGAAACUCAAAUGAAUUGACGGGG
This 397-nucleotide ribosomal RNA is filed under the name uncultured bacterium. RNAcentral's name for it is "partial 16S ribosomal RNA". It matches the Rfam family "Bacterial small subunit ribosomal RNA", at positions 523 to 918 of the family's 1533-position model. The record is from RNAcentral.